AGUCGAACGCGAAAGGGGCUUCGGCCCUGAGUAGAGUGGCGAACGGGUGAGUAACGCGUGGGUGACCUACCUUCGAGUGGGGGAUAACGUUCCGAAAGGAACGCUAAUACCGCAUGAAGUUCUGGAUUUGAACAUCUGGAAACCAAAGCCGGGGACCGCAAGGCCUGGCGCUUGGAGAGGGGCCCGCGUCUGAUUAGCUAGUUGGCGGGGUAAUGGCCCACCAAGGCGACGAUCAGUAGCCGGCCUGAGAGGGCGGACGGCCACACUGGGACUGAGACACGGCCCAGACUCCUACGGGAGGCAGCAGUGGGGAAUUGUUCGCAAUGGGCGCAAGCCUGACGACGCAACGCCGCGUGGGGGAUGAAGGUCUUCGGAUUGUAAACCCCUGUCGAGCGGGACGAAUAGCCCACGACCUAAUACGUUGUGGGAAUGACGGUACCGCUAAAGGAAGCCACGGCUAACUCUGUGCCAGCAGCCGCGGUAAUACAGAGGUGGCAAGCGUUGUUCGGAAUUACUGGGCGUAAAGGGCGCGUAGGCGGCCCUCUAAGUCAGACGUGAAAUCCCCCGGCUCAACCUGGGAACUGCGUCUGAUACUGGGGGGCUUGAGUGCGGGAGAGGGAUGCGGAAUUCCAGGUGUAGCGGUGAAAUGCGUAGAUAUCUGGAGGAACACCGGUGGCGAAGGCGGCAUCCUGGACCGACACUGACGCUGAGGCGCGAAAGCUAGGGUAGCAAACGGGAUUAGAUACCCCGGUAGUCCUAGCCCUAAACGAUGAGUGCUUGGUGUGGCGGGUAUCGAUCCCUGCCGUGCCGAAGCUAACGCAUUAAGCACUCCGCCUGGGGAGUACGG
RNAcentral lists this ribosomal RNA (847 nucleotides) under uncultured soil bacterium. RNAcentral describes it as "bacterial SSU rRNA". It matches the Rfam family "Bacterial small subunit ribosomal RNA", at positions 60 to 885 of the family's 1533-position model. The record is from RNAcentral.